Molecule: long non-coding RNA, 684 nt
Organism: Armigeres subalbatus
Lineage: Eukaryota; Metazoa; Arthropoda; Insecta; Diptera; Culicidae
Exons: 3
Source: RefSeq, a predicted model, not a curated record
GCAGAAAGAUUGCAAGUGCAAUAUCAACAAAGAUUGCGUGGAAAAAAGAACAGUUUUUUAAGAACAGAUCAAUGCGUUUGAGUGUUUUUUCGAAAAGGAACUAAUUAUUUCAACGCGAAAAAGGUUGUUCGAGCGGAUCAUCGAGGGGGAAGCCCAAUAUAUCUCGCAAUUCACUGGAGGAUUGAGCAAAAACACGCUUUCGAUCGAGCGCCAAGUGACAUAUUUAUCCAGGAUUUGCCAAGUAUCAACGCAGGUGGUAGAACCGUAAAUCAUUUCCUGGUUGGAAAUCCGUAGAGGAAAAAAUAACAAACAAUCAACGCUUAUAAAAACCGAUAUGCGUGGGCGUGAUCAUAAUGCAGAUUGUGUGUUUAAAACAGUGGUAACUGGUGAAAUGCAUAUAUUUCAAGGAAUAUUUUGGAACAAAAUGUAUAACGAUGGGAAAAAGGGCGUUAGCCUCCUGAAAACAUUUCGUUGGUUGCGUUGGACUGGAAUUCCCGGGACGGUCUUCAAAUAUUGUGUACUCGCUGACGAAAACUGCUGCAAACUAAUAAAACCAUGAUUGAUUCCAAAUAAAUGUGCAAGUGAAUAAAAUUGGAACGCAACUGAAACAAAUUAUGAUUUGGUUUAUGAAAUUAUUCCAUGAACGAGAGAAAUAUAAAAUGCUUCAUAAAAAUAAUCAAAAUA